This 496-nucleotide ribosomal RNA is filed under the name uncultured bacterium. Its description in RNAcentral is "bacterial SSU rRNA". It matches the Rfam family "Bacterial small subunit ribosomal RNA", at positions 355 to 856 of the family's 1533-position model. The record is from RNAcentral.
UAAGGAAUAUUGCGCAAUGGGCGAAAGCCUGACGCAGCGACGCCGCGUGGGGGAUGAAGGUCUUCGGAUUGUAAACCCCUUUCGGGAGGGAAGAUGGAGCGAGCAAUCGUUCGGACGGUACCUCCAGAAGCAGCCACGGCCAACUUCGUGCCAGCAGCCGCGGUAAUACGAAGGUGGCAAGCGUUGUUCGGAUUCACUGGGCGUACAGGGUGUGUAGGCGGUUUGGUAAGCCUUCUGUUAAAGCUUCGGGCCCAACCCGGAAAGCGCAGAGGGUACUGCCAGGCUAGAGGGUGGGAGAGGAGCGCGGAAUUCCCGGUGUAGCGGUGAAAUGCGUAGAGAUCGGGAGGAAGGCCGGUGGCGAAGGCGGCGCUCUGGAACAUACCUGACGCUGAGACACGAAAGCGUGGGGAGCAAACAGGAUUAGAUACCCUGGUAGUCCACGCCCUAAACUAUGGAUAGCUAAGUGUCGGGGGUUCCCGCCGGUGCCGCAGCUAAA